Molecule: transfer RNA, 75 nt
Filed under: Camelus bactrianus (Bactrian camel)
Lineage: Eukaryota; Metazoa; Chordata; Mammalia; Artiodactyla; Camelidae
Also listed under: 2 other names
Rfam family: tRNA
About the family: Transfer RNA (tRNA) molecules are approximately 80 nucleotides in length. Their secondary structure includes four short double-helical elements and three loops (D, anti-codon, and T loops).
Source: Rfam by way of RNAcentral
GGUGAUAUAGCUUAACAGCAGAGCACAUGCUUAUUAGCACGCAUAAAGUCCUGGGUUCAAUCCCCAGUACCGCCA